RNAcentral lists this transfer RNA (74 nucleotides) under Zoogloea ramigera. RNAcentral's name for it is "tRNA-Cys". It matches the Rfam family "tRNA". From Rfam's summary of the family: Transfer RNA (tRNA) molecules are approximately 80 nucleotides in length. Their secondary structure includes four short double-helical elements and three loops (D, anti-codon, and T loops). Lineage: Bacteria; Pseudomonadati; Pseudomonadota; Betaproteobacteria; Rhodocyclales; Zoogloeaceae. RNAcentral also lists the same sequence under 76 other names. The record is from RNAcentral.
GGCGAGGUAGCAAAGCGGUUAUGCAGCGGCCUGCAAAGCCGUCUAGGUCGGUUCGACUCCGAUCCUCGCCUCCA